GGAUUAGUAGUGCAUCAGGUUAAAGCACGCGCUCCUGAAUGGAGUGGGGUGCGGGUUCGAGUCCCGCUUAGUGCA
Non-coding RNA from Parelaphostrongylus tenuis, 75 nucleotides. The record is from the annotation of a GenBank genome assembly. Lineage: Eukaryota; Metazoa; Nematoda; Chromadorea; Rhabditida; Metastrongylidae.